ACGGGAGGCAGCAGUGGGGAAUAUUGGGCAAUGGGCGAAAGCCUGACCCAGCAACGUCGCGUGAAGGAAGAAGGUCCUCGGAUUGUAAACUUCUUUUAUCAGGGACGAAGAAAGUGACGGUACCUGAUGAAUAAGCCACGGCUAACUACGUGCCAGCAGCCGCGGUAAUACGUAGGUGGCGAGCGUUAUCCGGAUUUACUGGGUGUAAAGGGCGCGUAGGCGGGGAUGCAAGUCAGAUGUGAAAUCCAUGGGCUUAACUCAUGAACUGCAUUUGAAACUGUAUCUCUUGAGUAUCGGAGAGGCAAGCGGAAUUCCUAGUGUAGCGGUGAAAUGCGUAGAUAUUAGGAGGAACACCAGUGGCGAAGGCGGCUUGCUGGACGACAACUGACGCUGAGGCGCGAAAGCGUGGGGAGCAAACAGGAUUAGAUACCCUGGUA
This 437-nucleotide ribosomal RNA is filed under the name uncultured Oscillospiraceae bacterium. RNAcentral's name for it is "bacterial SSU rRNA". It matches the Rfam family "Bacterial small subunit ribosomal RNA", at positions 341 to 792 of the family's 1533-position model. The record is from RNAcentral. Lineage: Bacteria; Bacillati; Bacillota; Clostridia; Eubacteriales; Oscillospiraceae.